This 484-nucleotide ribosomal RNA is filed under the name uncultured bacterium. RNAcentral describes it as "bacterial SSU rRNA". It matches the Rfam family "Bacterial small subunit ribosomal RNA", at positions 28 to 507 of the family's 1533-position model. The record is from RNAcentral.
GACGAACGCUGGCGGCGUGCCUGACACAUGCAAGUCGUACGGUCCGUGAUUGAUCAAGCUUGCUUGAUUGGUCGUGGAUAGUGGCGGACGGGUGAGUAACGCGUGAACACCUACCCAUUGGAGGGGUACAACCCGUCGAAAGGCGGGCUAAUACCGCGUAAGCCGUGAGGUGAAAGGCUGCUUUUUGGUGGCUGCCGAUGGAUGGGUUCGCGUCCUAUCAGCUGGUUGGUGGGUAACGGCCUACCAAGGCUAAAGACGGGUAGCCGGUCUGAGAGGAUGGCCGGCCACACUGGAACUGAGACACGGACCAGACUCCUACGGGAGCAGCAGUAAGGAAUAUUGGGCAAUGGUCAAAAGCUGACCCAGCCAUGCCGCGUGCAGGAUGAAGGCCCUAUGGGUUGUAAACUGCUUUUAGCCGGGAAUAAACACCCGUUUUAUAACGGGCCCGAAGGUACCGGCUGAAUAAGCAUCGGCUAACUCCGUG